UCUUUCCCUCCAGCUAGUUGGAAAGGUGGUAACCCCCAGGAUGAAUUUAUAAACUCUGUGGCGAAGAUGGCAGAAUUUAUGUAAUUCUGAGUUACAGUGGCUUCGUGGAAGGGCUGCUUCUCCUGUUCUCCUGCUCAGUAUUAUUAGGGAUCUCAGCAGAGGCUGGUUUUGUGGGAAAAUACCUGUAUGAAUAAGUCAUCCUGUGGUUUUCUGAAGUGGGUAUUCAGGAGACACUUAUGGAAAGGAAAUAAAAGCUUCAGAGAGUGAAGCCAAAGAAACCUGGAAGUUUUCCUCUGAGGCUUCUCUCCUACCUGCUCUCAUUGAUGGGAUGCUGAGGAUGUUCACAUCUGACCUUUUGAAUUGCCUUAGCCUCACCACCCCACAAACAGCCGUGGGUUUCCAGGCCUUCAGCUUUGCUGAUGACACUGGACAAGAGCACACAGGUAUUCCAAAAUGCUUCAAAACGUAUUCAUCUCUGGUGUGAGACGAACAUGGUCUUUGUCCUGAGAUUUCAUUUGCGGCGAUUGUCAUACUUUUCUUUCUUGGAGACACCACUGCGGGAGAUGAAAAAUACAAUACACAGUUCACAAGCAAUAAUCACACGUGCCCUAAAUCAUCUGUUUGAAUUCUUCUAGAUUUGAAAUCAUGGAACCUGCACAAGGACAUUGGUAGGUCAUAACAUGUGUUGUUUUAGCCAUCAGGAAGGUCAACCACAGUUUAAAUAUGAACCUGACUGGUACUGCUGGGGAAAGCACUACACGAACUUCUGAUUUGUUUGUCAAACUUGUCUGAGAUGACGUGCCUCUCUCUCUACUUUUAUAUGAGAGAAUACAGCACAGCUGGAAUUCAAAACACUAAGAAAAGUA
Long non-coding RNA from Diceros bicornis minor, 866 nucleotides. RefSeq lists it as uncharacterized. Lineage: Eukaryota; Metazoa; Chordata; Mammalia; Perissodactyla; Rhinocerotidae. The transcript has 3 exons. The record is from RefSeq and is a predicted model, not a curated record.